GCCCGGAUGGCGGAAUUGGUAGACGCGUCGGUCUCAAACACCGAUGCCGCAAGGCGUGCCGGUUCGAUCCCGGCUCCGGGUACAA
Molecule: transfer RNA, 85 nt
Filed under: Bacteroidota bacterium
Lineage: Bacteria; Pseudomonadati; Bacteroidota
Description: Bacteroidetes bacterium (marine metagenome) tRNA-Leu
Rfam family: tRNA
About the family: Transfer RNA (tRNA) molecules are approximately 80 nucleotides in length. Their secondary structure includes four short double-helical elements and three loops (D, anti-codon, and T loops). Further hydrogen bonds mediate the characteristic L-shaped molecular structure. tRNAs have two regions of fundamental functional importance: the anti-codon, which is responsible for specific mRNA codon recognition, and the 3' end, to which the tRNAs corresponding amino acid is attached (by aminoacyl-tRNA synthetases). tRNAs cope with the degeneracy of the genetic code in two manners: having more than one tRNA (with a specific anti-codon) for a particular amino acid; and 'wobble' base-pairing, i.e. permitting non-standard base-pairing at the 3rd anti-codon position.
Source: RNAcentral